RNAcentral lists this ribosomal RNA (497 nucleotides) under uncultured bacterium. Its description in RNAcentral is "partial 16S ribosomal RNA". It matches the Rfam family "Bacterial small subunit ribosomal RNA", at positions 28 to 507 of the family's 1533-position model. The record is from RNAcentral.
GAUGAACGCUGGCGGCGUGCCUAAUACAUGCAAGUCGAGCGAACCGAUCAGGAGCUUGCUCCCUAGACGUUAGCGGCGGAGGGGUGCGUAACACGUGGAUAACCUACCUAUAAGACUGGGAUAACUUCGGGAAACCGGAGCUAAUACCGGAUAACAUAUUGACCUGGAUGGUUCCAUCGUUAAAUGCGGUUUUGCUGUCAGUUAUAGCUGGAUCCGCGCCGUAUUAGCUAGUUGGUAAGGUAACGGCUUACCAAGGCGACGAUAGGUAGCCGACCUGAGAGGGUGAUCGGCCACACUGGAACUGAGACACGGUCCAGACUCCUACGGGAGGCAGCAGUAGGGAAUUUUGCGCAAUGGGCGAAAGCCUGACGGAGCAACGCCGCGUGAGUGAUGAAGGCCUUCGGGUCGUAAAACUCUGUUAUCAGGGAAGAACAAAAGUGUAAGUAACUCUGCACAUCAUGACGGUACCUGAAGAAAAAGCCACGGCUAACUACGUG